This 253-nucleotide ribosomal RNA is filed under the name uncultured bacterium. Its description in RNAcentral is "partial 16S ribosomal RNA". It matches the Rfam family "Bacterial small subunit ribosomal RNA", at positions 524 to 776 of the family's 1533-position model. The record is from RNAcentral.
UACGUAGGGUGCGAGCGUUAAUCGGAAUUACUGGGCGUAAAGCGUGCGCAGGCGGUUCGUUGUGUCGGCGGUGAAAGCCCCGGGCUUAACCUGGGAAUGGCCGUUGAAACUGGCGAACUGGAGUGUGGCAGAGGGGGGUGGAAUUCCGCGUGUAGCAGUGAAAUGCGUAGAGAUGCGGAGGAACACCGAUGGCGAAGGCAGCCCCCUGGGCUAACACUGACGCUCAGGCACGAAAGCGUGGAGAGCAAACAGG